Molecule: transfer RNA, 79 nt
Organism: Aspergillus tubingensis CBS 134.48
Lineage: Eukaryota; Fungi; Ascomycota; Eurotiomycetes; Eurotiales; Aspergillaceae
Rfam family: tRNA
About the family: Transfer RNA (tRNA) molecules are approximately 80 nucleotides in length. Their secondary structure includes four short double-helical elements and three loops (D, anti-codon, and T loops). Further hydrogen bonds mediate the characteristic L-shaped molecular structure. tRNAs have two regions of fundamental functional importance: the anti-codon, which is responsible for specific mRNA codon recognition, and the 3' end, to which the tRNAs corresponding amino acid is attached (by aminoacyl-tRNA synthetases). tRNAs cope with the degeneracy of the genetic code in two manners: having more than one tRNA (with a specific anti-codon) for a particular amino acid; and 'wobble' base-pairing, i.e. permitting non-standard base-pairing at the 3rd anti-codon position.
Source: Rfam
GCCCUUGUAGCUCAGUGGUAGAGCGCUUCACUCGUAUCAUGUCAUGAAGAGGUCCGCGGUUCAAUCCCGCGUGGGGGCA